UACGUAGGGUGCGAGCGUUAAUCGGAAUUACUGGGCGUAAAGCGUGCGCAGGCGGUUUUGUAAGCCAGAUGUGAAAUCCCCGGGCUUAACCUGGGAAUGGCAUUUGGGACUGCAAGGCUGGAGUGCGGCAGAGGAGACUGGAAUUCCUGGUGUAGCAGUGAAAUGCGUAGAUAUCAGGAGGAACACCGAUGGCGAAGGCAGGUCUCUGGGCUGACACUGACGCUCAUGCACGAAAGCGUGGGGAGCAAACGAGGAUAGAA
This 260-nucleotide ribosomal RNA is filed under the name uncultured bacterium. RNAcentral's name for it is "partial 16S ribosomal RNA". It matches the Rfam family "Bacterial small subunit ribosomal RNA", at positions 524 to 783 of the family's 1533-position model. The record is from RNAcentral.